Molecule: long non-coding RNA, 621 nt
Filed under: Malus domestica (apple)
Lineage: Eukaryota; Viridiplantae; Streptophyta; Magnoliopsida; Rosales; Rosaceae
Description: long non-coding RNA (MDOM_LNC020206)
Source: RNAcentral
CUACAUAGGGGCUGCGAAUUUCAGCCUAUAAAUACCAUCCUUUGCUGCACCAUUUAGACACCAUCCUCUACCAUAUUUUCACUACACCAUUCACCCAAAAACCCCUCUGUGCCGUGAGUUUUGCAAGGAGAAGAAGGAAGAAAUCUGGAGCCGUGCUUGCCAUUCAAGAAGCUUGGAUUGUUGGAGCGUUUCUAGGUGUUUUCUAUCUUUGUUUUAAUGUUUAAAUUUAUUUAUCUUUGUUUAUUUACGAACAUGAGGAACUAAUUUCUUUAUAGUUAGAGGGGAAUUCAAAGCCAUGAUCAUAUGUUUUAUAUGACUUGAUUUCCUCCAGUUAUGAUUUCAUAAAUCGUGAAUGUGGUUUACUUAUCUAUUUGAUUGAUAACUUGUUCUUGUGUGUUGAUUAAGGAUGCAUACUUAGUUUGCAUGCAUGAAUUUGAUGCUAGAGUAUAAGGCAAUUUCACCUAAUCGUUAUUAACUUAUAUUCAUAAGUAGUAAAAGUCGCUAGUCACGAUUGUGUUAAGUAAAUCCUUGGCAAGAGUAACAUGCGUAUUCCUGUUGGAAAUGUGCCCUAAAGCCAAUCAUGUGAUGAUACUUUACGGACAUUUCACAUGUUAAACUAAU